CAUGCAAGUCGAGCGGAACGAGUUAUCAGAACCUUCGGGGAACGAUAACGGCGUCGAGCGGCGGACGGGUGAGUAAUGCCUAGGAAAUUGCCCUGAUGUGGGGGAUAACCAUUGGAAACGAUGGCUAAUACCGCAUGAUGCCUACGGGCCAAAGAGGGGGACCUUCGGGCCUCUCGCGUCAGGAUAUGCCUAGGUGGGAUUAGCUAGUUGGUGAGGUAAGGGCUCACCAAGGCGACGAUCCCUAGCUGGUCUGAGAGGAUGAUCAGCCACACUGGAACUGAGACACGGUCCAGACUCCUACGGGAGGCAGCAGGGGGAAUAUUGCACAAUGGGCGCAAGCCUGAUGCAGCCAUGCCGCGUGUGUGAAGAAGGCCUUCGGGUUGUAAAGCACUUUCAGUCGUGAGGAAGGUAGUGUAGUUAAUAGCUGCAUUAUUUGACGUUAGCGACAGAAGAAGCACCGGCUAACUCCGUGCCAGCAGCCGCGGUAAUACGGAGGGUGCGAGCGUUAAUCGGAAUUACUGGGCGUAAAGCGCAUGCAGGUGGUUUGUUAAGUCAGAUGUGAAAGCCCGGGGCUCAACCUCGGAAUUGCAUUUGAAACUGGCAGACUAGAGUACUGUAGAGGGGGGUAGAAUUUCAGGUGUAGCGGUGAAAUGCGUAGAGAUCUGAAGGAAUACCGGUGGCGAAGGCGGCCCCCUGGACAGAUACUGACACUCAGAUGCGAAAGCGUGGGGAGCAAACAGGAUUAGAUACCCUGGUAGUCCACGCCGUAAACGAUGUCUACUUGGAGGUUGUGGCCUUGAGCCGUGGCUUUCGGAGCUAACGCGUUAAGUAGACCGCCUGGGGAGUACGGUCGCAAGAUUAAACUCAAAUGAAUUGACGGGGGCCCGCACAAGCGGUGGAGCAUGUGGUUNAUUCGAUGCA
RNAcentral lists this ribosomal RNA (921 nucleotides) under Vibrio parahaemolyticus. RNAcentral's name for it is "bacterial SSU rRNA". It matches the Rfam family "Bacterial small subunit ribosomal RNA", at positions 54 to 958 of the family's 1533-position model. Lineage: Bacteria; Pseudomonadati; Pseudomonadota; Gammaproteobacteria; Vibrionales; Vibrionaceae. The record is from RNAcentral.